GUUUUUCUCCCGGUGCAGGAAAACAUGAAGAACGGGGAAAGUAGCUGCCGCAUGCCAAUGUGAAACUCCGAGGAGUCUAGCCAUUCUGAUCUGGCCUUCCAGGUCAUUAGGAGGCUCUGCCAUCGUGUGAGGAGGGAAAGCCUGCUGUCUGGAGAGCACACUGGUCUCCAGCGUGGGGAGAGAGAGCACUUUCGGGCUUUGCUGAGGAGGGUCUUCAGAAAAAAGAUGUGCAGCUCGGACAUGGAGGGCAGAAGGUGCUCAGGAAGGAUCUUCUGCAUGCAGGAGCCUCCUCUCUCGAAGGGUGUUCUCCAAUCAUGAGCUUAUUUGCUGUUUACAUGCCCGAGGAGGACUGACCUUAGCAGCUAUGAUGACCUCAUUUAUCACUGUGGAUAAGCACUUGGCCAGGGUCUCAGCCAGCACCCCAGGCCCAGCCUCCUGGUUUACUCAUUUCUGGGGGUGGUGGCAUCUGCCCACUGUCCUGAACUUUCCUCUGCUUGGGUAGGGACAGGGAGCCCCAGCAGCACUUGUUCCAGGAUGACCCAGCAAAUUGCAAGGUGGCAUUUGGCCUUUUCCUCAGCAAUUGCCAGACUUUGUCCCAGGGUGAGGAGGAAGCCAAUGGAAGAGCUGGGGCACCAAGCGUCAGGGAGACAAGGGACUUGUGUGCAGCCAGUACUGCCAACAAGAAGGCCCAAUCAAGAUCCUCCCACAACAAGAGCAGAUUGUGAGCGUGGCAAGCUCUAUGCUGAGCACUGGAAGGACAAAGAGAGAUUGGGCACAGACUUCUCACUGAUCCAGGUGAUGAAGAGCUCACAUCUGAGAGGAUGUGACCAUGGAUGACCCACCAGAAUGUCAUGGGAUCCAGCUACAGCCAAGGAAGCACAGAGCACCGUGGG
This 893-nucleotide long non-coding RNA is filed under the name Homo sapiens (human). RNAcentral's name for it is "HSALNT0331134". The record is from RNAcentral. Lineage: Eukaryota; Metazoa; Chordata; Mammalia; Primates; Hominidae.